This 12633-nucleotide long non-coding RNA is filed under the name Selaginella moellendorffii. RNAcentral's name for it is "long non-coding RNA (SMOE_LNC000698)". Lineage: Eukaryota; Viridiplantae; Streptophyta; Lycopodiopsida; Selaginellales; Selaginellaceae. The record is from RNAcentral.
CUCGUUUCGCUCCUUCAUUCCAUCAAAGAGUUUCUUUGCUUUUUCCAGAUGCCCGUUGCAAGCAUAUGCUGUAAUGAGAGCGGUUGCCGGGACUAAAUGCUCGCCUUGAUCAGGCAGACCUAAAUAUAUGGCUUCGGCGUCGUGAGUCCGCCCUCGUCGAGAAUACAAGCGCAGCAUUGCAGUGCAAGCAAACGCGUUGUGGCGCUGCAUGGUGUAAAAUAUUUGCUCAGCCUCCGCGAUGCUACUGUCCUCGUGAUCUGCGUAAGCGGACAGGAUUACUGCGCAUGAAACCACAUCGAUACACUCCAUCGACUCAAACAGAUUCUUUGCCUCGUGAAAGCAGCCACUUUCCGCCAAGACGACAAGCAAAACCGUGGAGGCAACCAAAUCCUUGUGAGGCAGCGCGAGGAAGAAAUACUUGGCAUCUUCCAAAAGGCCGUGCUGGCCAAAGCACUGAAUCAUGGACGUAAAAGACAGAGCAUCAAAUUCUGGCAUGUUGGAGAAGAUGUCCUUCGCCUCCUGCAAAUGCCCAGCUUGGGCAAGUGCUGAUAGUUGAGAGUUCCAAGCAACAAGAUCUCUCUCAGGCAUGGAGCUGAAGAGUGUCGUUAUUUAAAACAAGUUGGUGGAUUUGGAUAGAAUUGUGGUCCAAGAGAUUAAGCUCCUUUCUGGCAUAAGCUCAAAGAGCUGCAUUGCUUUAUCCAAAUACCCGUUUGUGGCAUAUGCUAAGAUCAUUGCGUUCCAUGCUACAAGGCCUCUCUCUCUCAUGGAAUCGAAAACUUCUUUUGCCUGUAGGAGUAAGCCAUGCCGAGAGAAGGCAGUGAUCAUGAUCGACCAUGAAGCAACAUCCCAUUCGGGCAUUCGAUCAAACAACUGCUUUCCUUGGUCAAGAUAGCUGUUUGAUGCGAAGGCAGAGAGCAUGGCAUUCCACGAGAAUCGAUCCCGUGAUGUAGAGCCACGAAAGAUUUGCCAUGCUGCCUUUGGGCAUCCACACCUCCCAUACAUUUGCACCACCAAAUUGCAUGCCAAGCAGUCUCCUGCCGCGAGGAGGUGCUCAAUCUCAUUGUGGAGCUUAGAAGCUGUGGAUAGAUUGGUACACUUCUUUAUUGCAUCCAACAAAACCUCUCGACAAUCUGGUUCUCUGUAAGAAAAAACCAUAUAAUCAUGCACAAUCUUGGAUGGUUCCUUGGUUGUUGUAGACACAAUCAUCAAUUUGGAGAUUAGUUUCAUGAUCCGCACCACUGUUGUCUUUGCACGUCGCAUAGUAGACCAACUUUGGGAUGUUUUCAUUGUUAUACAUGCAACCUGUGGGCGUGCAUGUCUCUAAGAAAUUUGCCCCGCCACACUUUAAAUUCCCAUUAUCAUUGUGGAUGUGAUUGUCCAAGACCAAAUAAAUCUCAGAUUUUCCAGGGAGACACCAUUCUAAAUGAAUAGUGGUUAAGUUGAAUUCAACUAUAUUACAAGUAAGUGAGAAAUCCCCACACCCAAAUGUUUUAGGAAUGAUCAAAGCAGCAAGCGAGGCAACAAUGGAAACUAUCAAUCGCACACCCAUUCUAAAAAUUAGUUUUUUGAAGUGCUGAGAUUUAUUGUUAAGGGAAAAUCCAAUCAACCUUUAUGGAGACAAAAGUUUUUGCCAUGUAGUCCACAUAGCGGUGAUGAAGUAGAUAAAUAUUCUUAUUGAUGAACAAAAAUAUUCAAAAACAUUGGAGUUGUCAAAGAUUCUCUUCUCAAAAAGCAUACGUCCAUUUCGGGCACAAUCUGGUAUCACGCUGUGAUCGGCAUUGUUUCGAUGGUAUGGCAGUCUCGUCUCGCAUCAAAGAGAUUCUUUCGGACUAAAUGCUCGUCUUGAUCAGGCAGACCUAAAUAUAUGGCUGAGUCCGUUCUUGAGAAUACAAGCGCAGCAUUGCAGUGCAAGCAAACGCUGUAUGCUGUAAAAAUUCUGCUCAGCCUACUGUCGUCAUGAUAUGCAUAAGCACAGCACAAGACAACACAGCAAAGCAGUGGACGCAACCAAAUCCUUAUGAGGGUGGCCAAAGCACUGGGCGUGAACGACAGAGGAGCAAACUCUGGCAUGUUGGAAAAGAUGUUCUUCGCCUCCUGCAAAUGCCCAGCUUGGGCAGUUGCUGCUAGAUGAGAUUUCCAAGAAACAAGAUCUCUCGGCAUAAACAGAGUCCUUAAUUGGCAUAUGUUGGUGGUCUUUGAUAGAAUUGUGGUCUAAGAUAUUAGCUCCUUUCCGGCAUAAGCUCAAAGAUGCAUUUCUUUAUCCAAAUGCCCGUUUGUGGCAGACUAUCAUUGCAUUCCGGCCUCUCUCUCUCUCUCUCUCUCUCUCUCUCUCUCUCUCUCUCUCUCUCACUCUCACACACACACGGAAUAAAAAACAGGAGUAAACCUGAUGUUUGAUGUGGCAUGGCAUUCCACUCCUCGAUCUAGAUACUUGCCAUGCCGCCUCAGGGCAUCCACACCUCCCAUACAUUUGCACCAGAAAAUUGGAUGCCAAACAAUCUCCUGCCGCAAGGAGGCACUUGAUCUCAUUGUGAAGCUUACAAGCUGCAGAUAGAUUGCUACACUUUUUUAUUCCAUCCAAUAAAACCUCUUGACCAUACAUUGCUCUCUAUGAGAAAAAAAGCAUAUCUGUUGAUGCAAUCUUGGCUAGUGCCUUGAGAGUUGUAGAAACAAUCAUCAAUUCGGAGAUUAGUGUCUUGACCUACACCACCAUCGUCUUUGCAGCUUUGGGAUUUCCAUUUGUAAAAUUCAAACAUGCAUGUCUCAAUUUGAGAAGGGCAAGCAGCAAGAUCCAAGCUCAGGAUCACAAGAACCAAGGGGGAGGAGUGAUGGGCAGUGGUUGUAUCCCACAGCCUCAAGACCCAAGGCUCCAUUUCUUCGAUACUCUCAUCCCUGGCACUAGAUACUAGCGAUAGAAACGAAAAGGCUCCCAUUCAUCGAUGAUUCUUCCAGUUGUCAAUAAAUUCCAUGUCAUACUAAAAGAACUCCAGUUGAUUGAUCAAAUGGUUCUUUAGUUCUUCCCAAAAGUUUCUUUGCCAUCUCUACGCGAUCAUCUCUAUGAUCGCCUAAACGCGUUCUUGUCCGUGAACUUCUCGCGGUAGUGCGAUCGCCGAUGCAAAGUGUCCGCGACCGAGGCACUGCCUCCAUUCUCGGUGCCAUAGACACUCCUGUUCGUCUCGUCCAGGAAGUUCUUCCCCGACUUGAUCGAGUCCUUCUCCUCCUGGACAGCGUCGCUCGCCGAGGCGCGUUUGAUCCGCUGCCAUCGCUGCUCCUCGUGGAGCUCCGCGUCCUGCUGCAUCUCUCUCAGCCGCGCCAUCUUCUCCUCCUCGCUCAGCUGGGCUUUCUUCCUCGGCAGCGGUGGCUUGCCGGAGCCACGGUUUUCCUCCUGUCCCUGUGCCUGUCUUCGUGCCUGCGAUGCCGUUCAUCCACAUGUCUCUCCCGCUUUCUACUUCUCGUAUCAUCGUCCUCGCGAACUUGGUUGCUUCUGUACCUGUCUUGCUCGUCUCUCUCGGGAAUUCUUUUGCUGCGAUCUUCUCGAUCAUCCCGUGAAGAAGCACCUAUUUUGUUUCUAUGCCUGUCUUCCCCGUCGCUGUCCUCGGCAGAGCUUUUCCUCCUGCUAUACCUGUCAUCCUCAUCGGAACCUCCUUUGUUUCCAUCGUCAUCCUCCUCGGCAGCUCUUCUGCUUCGAUCAGCUCUCUUUGCUUCUGGCUCGCCAGCUUCACCGUUCUCUUUCAUUUUCUUCUUCAGUGCCUUCCUCUUCUGCUUCUCCUCGGCUUUUACUUGUGCUUUCAAUCGCUUCUUUUCCUCUUUAGCUUCCAUCUUGAAGUUCUCGGUCACUGCCCUCGUCUACAUCCAGGUGACUUACGGAUGGACGUGGGGAUGGGGCGGCGCUACCGCUGUCGUCGCCCUCGCCACCCUGCUCUUCUUCUCCGGGAGAUCAAACUAUCGCACCCAAAAGCCCGCUGGAAGUCCCUUCACCCGCGUCGCUCAGGUCCUGGUGGCGGCCACCAGGAAGUGGAAUGUGAGCGUUCCAGACGACGAUGAGAAGCUGUACGAGCUGAGCGACAAGGAGGCGCAGUUCCCACACAUUCGGAACCUCCCCAGGAGUAAAGAAUUCACGUAAGUCCAGAAGAACAAUCUUAGCUUACUACGAUUGAUCGCGAGCAGAUUCCUGAACAAGGCGGCGGUGGUGAGCGAGAAGGAUCUGCAGAGCAAGGAAGUGAAGCCGUGGAGCCUGUGCCCAGUGACGCAAGUCGAGGAAGUGAAGCUCCUAGUGCGAGUGAUGCCCAUCUGGUUCACGAACCUCAUCUUUAGCAGCGUCUUCGCCCAGGUGGGCACCUUAUUCCUCAACCAGGGCGACACCAUCGAGCGGCAUCUGGGGCGAUUCCAGAUCCCAGCCGCCUCCUUCACGCUCUUCAUCCUCACCAUUUGCAUCAUCAUGCCGCUCUACGACCGCUGCUUCGUGCCAUUCGCGUGCCGGAUCACGGGGAACGAGCGAGGGAUCACGAUGCUCCAGCGCAUCGGGAUCGGCCAGGUCAUCUCCACGGUCUCCAUCGCCAUCGCCGCGGUGGUGGAGAUGAAGCGCUUGCGAGUGGCUAGGCAACAUGGUCUGUUGGAUCGCCCCCAGUCGACGGUCCCGAUGAGCGCAUUCUGGCUCUUGCUGCAGUGAGUUCGCGAGGUUUUCAUCUCCGUCGGCCAGAACGAGUUCUUCUACGAUCAAGCCCCGGAUUCCAUGCGAAGCAUUGGAGUGGCGCUCUAUCUCAGCACCAUCUCCAUCGGGAGCUUCAUCAGCAGCUUGCUCGUGGAGAUGGUGGUCAAGUUUACAAGUACAAAAGGUGGGGGGGUUGACGGCAACUGGAUCAAUGACAAUCUCAACAGGGCUCACAUUGAUUACUUCUACUGGCUGCUCACUAUUCUCAGCAUCAUCAACCUUGGGAUAUAUGUCUUGUGUGCGAGGUGGUAUACUUACAAGCAUGUGGGAGAUAUUGCAAUUUGAUCAUCAAUCGAUCCUAGUAACAUGUUCUGCAGCAGUUUGUGAGACGAGAGCAUACCAGGAGAGACCAAGAGAAGGGCUAAGCGGCUGGGGACGAGCUAUCGCAAUAGCGAUGAUGUGAUAUCACUACCACCACCAUAAUAAGAUACUUAUUGCUAUAUCUUUUAAAUAUGACCCUAUCCAGUUAUAAGUUUAGCUCAAAGUUUGAACUGUCAGAGUAAGCCCUAAAAUAUUGAUCUUAUCUAAUCCAUAGCUCUAAAAUUCUAUUGGAGGGAUCAAUAUAUUUAGGUAUGCCAAUUGCACAGUUAAUUUGGUCGCAAUGCAUGCCACACCGUCUGGGCCUGAUCAAUAUCUUCGGCGGGAUGGGAUCGAAGUAGGCCAUCCCAGCGUAUGAUAUGCCAUAUGCCCAGCAGGGGAUUUGAUCACCAUGGGCCGCUACAGCUUCAACAAGCGAUUGUUCUUGCCGAUGUGCGCUCAUCCAAAGAUCGAUCCAAUCUCUGGCGAGCUCUUCGCGGAUCAAUCCCCACCUCCGCUACUUCUGGGCGAGCCCGGACAGGAGGAAGAGCCCCGAUUUCGACGUGUGGCUGCUUGUUUCACGACUUCGCGAUAACAGAGAACUACGUAAUCCUUCCAGAGAAUCAGCUCGUGAUGAAGUUCUCAAGAACAAACUGGUAAUUGAUGGAGAUACUGCCAAGGUUCCCAGAUUCGGGGUCAUCCCUCGCAUCCCGACCGUGGGAUCUCCUGGAUCGACGUCCCGGAUUGGACAUCAUUCCACUACAUCAACGCGUGGGAGGAAGGGACGGACAAGAUCGUCGUACUCAGCUCGUCCAUUACGCCGGUGGAACAUCUGUUUGACGAUAUCGCCGGAUUGUCCAACAGAUUGCACGAGAUCCACCUGGACCUUCGAUCUGGAUGGUCGUGGAAGCAACACGUGUGCUCGGCUGGACUGGAUUUUGGACAGAUCAACCAGAAAUUCCUGAGGCGGAAGAAUCGGUACGUUUACAUGUGCUACUAUGGGCCAUGGCCCAAAAUCUCGGGUCUGGCCAAGGUCGAUUUGGACGCUCCACGGCUGCCCAAGGUGGUCAUCGAUGGAACAAGUGACCCAGAUCUAAACGAGCCAUGCCUUGUGGCAUCGAGGAGAUUUGAACGAGGUCAGUUUUGUGGCAAGCCUUUCUUUGUGGUAAAUGGCAAGGAGGAAGACGAUGGAUGCGUCUUAAGCUACAUCCACGAUGAGGAAAGUGGUGUCUCAGAGCUUUUGGUCAUGGAUGCCAAAUCGCCCACACUUGAGACAGUGGCUUCUAUAGAGUUGCCUGCUAGAGUUCCAUAUGGAUUCCAUGGGAUCUUUAUAAAUGCUGAUCAAAUAGCCAACCAGAACCAUGCCACCUUGUAAGAAAAUUUGUAAAUUGAUAUAAUCUCUUGAAAAUAUCUAAGCUAUGUAACUAUGUGAGAAUUGGUAAUAAGAACAUAUAAAGCACUGUUACUAGGCUCCACACUAAUGGCAACUUUCAUUGCAUCUCCACUUGCUGCAGCUCCAAGCACUUCCAAUCCAUGGAAUCUGGGUACACUACUCGUGUAUGAUUAGUCAGGCAGGGUAUAUCCAAAACGCUAAGAAUCUCCUGUGGGAGAUGCCAUAUUAUCUUUGAGGGUUUGGAGUGAUCAAAUUGGAAAGACACAAAGAGAUGCCGAGCUAUGGCAUCAGUGCCUUUGUGGGCACACGAAGUGAGCAAAGCUGUUAAGUUAGCUUCAUCAGGUGUAUAAUCCCUCCAAUUAAAAUAUGGAUUGGAUGAUCUCACCUUCACAAUAAUAUUUUAGGGCUGAGGCAGUACAGUGCUUCUAGAGAAAUUGGGUUCAAAAAGGUUGCGAUGCUGAUAGGAUAUGUGAACACUCAGAGGACCAAUAAUUGUGUGUCCAUAAGAUAUGUGAACACUUAGAGGACCAAUAAUUGUGUGUCUAUAUAUGCCUGAAAUACUUUUGCAUUUUGUUUUUAGUCCACUCCGACCAUUGAAAAAAAUGUCAUCACUUGACAUUCACAUUUAAUGAUUUUUUAAGAAUGUCACAAUAAAAUAUAUCUAUAAGAAUAUAUACCUAUUAAGGAUAUCCUAGUGUUUACCAAUGUGUAAUCACCUCAUUUUUACCCUCAAACCUCCUUAACUCUAAAAUGAAGCAAUAAAGCUUGAAGAAGAGAUUGAGGAAUGAAUAAAAAUGAGAAUGAAACAGUGAAUUUAAAAAACAAAAUUUGACAUAUAGAUAUAAAUAGAGUAGAGAAUAUUAUUUUGAUGAAGAAACUUUUUAAAGCAAUCUUGGUUAUUCCAGUAAGCAUGGCUUCUUGUAAAUGAUCAUUUUCCUGGCAAAAUAUGAUGAAGAAUCAUCGUCAAAAUUGACUUAACCUUAAGAUAUUGGAUGUGUAUAUGUUUUUCUUACUAAAGGGCUUAUAGUGCUUUUUUUUUAUUAGUCAUGUGUUAUGUGUAAUUUCAAGUCCAACAUUACAGGAUAAAGGCAAAAUAACAACUUUAUUUUUAUCAUAAUGUCAUUUAACAUUUAUAUUUAUAUUUUAGUGGAUAAAUGUAAAAAAAAAAAAAAAUUCUCUAUAUAAAACACCUUUACAUGAUGCAAUAUAAAUCCUUGCAUAGAUAAAAAAGUACUCCCUACAUAAAAUAUCAACUAGCCUAAGCAAAUGACCUUAAUAAAAUAACAUAAAUUGAUUUUUUUUUUUGUUACUUUGACUAUGACUACCAAAUUUUGACUUUCUUCCCAACCAUUAACACCUAUUAUGGGAAUCGUGCUAUUUCAAUCUAUUAUACCUAAUGUAUUUAGAGAGAGAGAGAGAGAGAGAGAGAGAAAUAAAGUAUAACCUAAAUCCCUAAGCAAUAACCUUCAUUUGCAACACCCAUUGUCAUAUACAUGAAAUCACGUGGCUCUCAAAUUGUGUUGAAGUUAUUCAUCAAACAAGGUAGCUAAUUUAAUUAAGAUCAAAGCUAUAUAAAUUUCUUCUUAAACAUCAAUGGUAUAAAUGCUAAUUCCUUAAAGUUUUUGUGUAGAUGCCAUUUAUCCAAGAAGAAAUUUCACAGAUCUCAAAGGCAAGAUUGAGGUGCAUUCUAUGUUCUAAUAUCCCUUUGUUAAAUAGGUAUUGUUCAAGUAUUUUUGUGUUGCUUGAUGCAUCAAAUCUGGUGAUAAUAAGUAGCAUAUGGGUUUUGGAAUCUAGGCUGUGAGAGUUGGUGGUGGCAUUCUCUUUCCUAGGACAUUAUCUAAUGUUUUAUUUCUUUAUCAAGAUUUGGGAAUUAUUUUUGAAUUAUUCAAAAGUUAUUCAGGAAUAAUCUCCUGGUUUGAGUGUUUGAAGUUAGUACCAAGCAAUAUAGUGUUCUCUAGAUUGAUCAAUCUUAAGAAAUCUUGUAGCUUUGGCAUUUCCAACUAUUAUUGAGGAUAGAGUAUAGAUUUGCAAAGACUUUUGUUUGCCAAGGUGCACCAUUGUUCUAGGGUGUGUUGUUAUAACACUAGUUCUAGAUUGCAUCACAAGACAUAAGCACUAACAAUUUAGCUUAGAUUAAUGCUUGCUAGGGUUAGAUUUUUUUAGAGAGAUUAAAAAUUUAUGGAAGAAAGUGGUGUCAUUACUUUGUUUUGUGCUUGUAGUUCUUCCUCAUCUUUCAAGGUUUGAAACAUUUUUCUAUUUUCUUUACCCCUUAUUCUCAAAUAAGAAACAUAUGCAUAAGGAUGCUAUGAAGCUCAUUAACAACUAAGCUUAAAAUCCAUCAUGUUCAUAGGUGGAAAUCCAUUUGACAAGGCUCGAGCAAAUAUGUCUGCACUUAACUUGUCUCAAAAACCAUACACAUAAGGUUUGAGAAAAGAAGAUCUCCAAGUUGUUGGAUCAAUGGCUUUUAUUAAAACCCCUAAUAAUACUUAAAUUUUAGAUUAUGCAACACCAAGAAUAUACUUUAAAAAAACAAUUAAACCUUUACUCUAAAGGUAUAUAAUAGGUAUUUUUAACCCUUUGAGUGAUCCUACCCUAAACAAGUGUGACCACUUUAGAUUUAAUUCUCCUUUGCAAACUAGGAUUUCUAUUAGUGACACCAAUAUAGCUGGCAUAUUUACUUUAAGAUUCACUCAUUCCAUGGGACCUGCAUCAUUCACACAACACCAGAGUUAUAAGUUAGAUACUUUACUAAACUUUUUAUAAUUAUUUCUCAAAAAUUUUAUAAGAUGGCUACUCAAGAUGAGAGGUACUCAAGAAGAAGUUACCAAAUUUAUAGCACUAUUGUUGACUCUAUAACAUGAGUUUAAAUGAGAUUCACAACAUAGUUGCAACUCUAGCUAACAAGAGCAUUGUCUAAGAUUAGGAGCACUAGUGAUUUAAAGUAGAAAUUAUAAGCCAAAAUUCCUAGAAUAAAAAAUAGAACAAUUUUUAAAAUAAAUCAAUUUGGCAAAAAUACAUAUUAGGAAUAACUAGAAUUGUUAAUGAAAAUGACAAUGAAAACAAUAAAUCACUAAAACUUCACUAUGUACCACAAUUCUAUCUAAUGAAAUUCAAAUCAUUCUUCCUAAAAUUUUAUAUAAAAUUCCUCACAGUGUAACUUUAUUUUAGAAUAAUGCACAUAUAUAGUUUUUGCCCAAAAUCCCACAUAUAAUUGCAUACAUAAUCUUAAACCCUUAGUGCAUAACCCCCCACUUUACUCUUGCCAUGACACACCUCAGUUAACUGCCACAUCAAAUGGUUCAACCACUCACUAACAACUAGGUGAGGAUUACAUUGAAAGAUGCACUAGGAGGGGUAGUAGGCAGAUUAGUGAAGCCCAAGGUUAGAUUUUACAUGAAUAAUAGCCUAGAUUUCACGUGUGAUCAUCAAAAAUAGAAAUCUUUGGUAAGUUCUUCAUGGUUAACUUCAGUGAUCAAUCCCCACCUUUGUUACUUCUGGGCAGGGAGGAAAGAGAUGAAUUUCCAAGAUGUAGUGCUCAAGAACAAACUGGUCAUUGAUGGAGAUACUGCCCAAGGGUCUCAGAUUGAUGCAUCCCGGCCACGGGAUUUUCCGGAUCGACGUCCCGGAUUGGAUGUAAUUCCACUACAUCCAUGCCUGGGAGGAAGGGAUGGACAAGAUUGUCAUGUCCAUUACGCCAGUGGAACAUCUGUUUGACGAUUUCGCUGGAUUGUUCAACAGAUUGCACAAGAUCCACCUGGCCCUUCGAUCUGGACGGUCGUGGAAGCAACAUGUGUGCUCGGCAGGACUGGAUUUUGCACCAGAAAUUCCUGGGGCAGAAGAACCGUUGGCUAAGGUUGAUCUGGUGUGGCAUCAUGGAGAUUCGAACAUGGUAAGUUUUGUGGCAAAUGGUGAGGAGGAAGACGAUGGAUAUGUCGUCUUAAGCUACGUCCAUCAUGAGAAAAAUGGUGUCUCGGAGCUUUUGUUCAUUCAUGCCAAAUCGCCCACACUUGAGACAGUGGCUUCUAUAGAGUUGCCUGCUGGAGUUCCAUAUGGAUUCCAUGGGAUCUUUAGAAAUGCCGAUCAAAUAGCCAACCAAAACCAUGCCACCUUCUAAGAAAAUUUGAUAUAGUUGUAGGAAUUGAUAUAAUCUCUUGAAAAUAUCUAAGCUAUGUAACUAUGUGAGAAUUGGCAAUAAGAACAUAUGGAGCACUGUUACUAAGCUCCACACUAAUGGCAUUUUUCAUUGCAUCUCCACUCGCUACAGCUCCAAGCAAGCGCUUCCAAUCCAUGGAAUCAGGGUAGUAUGGCAUCUCCCACAGAAGAUUCUCAGCGUCUUUGACCGGACAAGCACACCAAUCAUACAUGAGUAGUGUUGCUUUGAGGGUUUGAUGGAGUGAUCAAACUGGAAAGACACAAAGAGAUCCCCAGCUAUGGCAGCAGCACCUUUGUGAGCGCACGACGUGAGCAAAGCUGUUAAGCUAGCUUCAUCAGGUGUAUUAGUAGUGACCAUGGUUUGCAAGGCAUCCAAGGCUUUGGAAAUGGCCCCAAUCCGAGAGUAUGCCACCAGCAUUGCAUCCCAAGAUAUGAAGUCCUUGUCCAGCAUUGUUAAGAAUAUCCAAUUUGCCAUAUCCAGAUGCCCGUUUUGGGUAUAUGCAGAAAGCAUUCACUCCAUGGAGAUUGGUUUCUUUCUUGGAUUGAAUCGAACACACUUUUAGCUUCCAGUAACUGCAAAUUUGAUGAAAAACCAGACAAGAAAGCAUUGAAAGCAAUAGCACUCUUUUCAUUGGAGUUGUCAAAAAUUCUCUUAGCCAAAAGCAUAUGUCCAGUUCGGGCAUAUGCCGACAUGAGCACAAUCAGCGGUAUCUCGCUGUGACCCGGCAUUUUUUUGAAAAUCCACAGGGCGUCCUCUAGCCUGUGGUUGUUUACAUAUCCUGUCAGCAUGGCAGUCCACGUAACCUCGUUUCACUCCUUCAUUCCAUCAAAGAGUUUCUUUGCUUUUUCCAGAUGCCCGUUGCAAGCAUAUACUGUAAUGAGAGCGGUUGCCGUGACUAAAUGCUCGCCUUGAUCAGGCAGACCUAAAUAUAUGGCUUCGGCGUCGUGAGUCCGUCCUCGCCGAGAAGGCAAGCGCAGGAUUGCAGUGCAAGCAAACGCGUUGUGGCGCUGCAUGGUGUAAAAAAUUUGCUGAGCCUCGGCGAUGCUGCUGUCGUCGUGAUCUGCGUAAGCGGACAGGAUUACCACGCAUGAAACCACAUCUAUACACUCAAUCGACUCAAACAGAUUCUUUGCCUCGUGAAAGCAGCCACUUUCCACCAAGACGACAAGCGAAACCAUGCAGGCAACCAAAUCCUUGUGAGGCAGUGCGAGGAAGAAAUACUUGGCAUCUUCCAAAAGGCCGUGCUGGCCAAAGCACUGAAUCAUGGACGUAAAAGACAGAGCAUCAAAUUCUGGCAUGUUGGAGAAGAUGUGCUUCGCCUCCUGCAAAUACCCAGCUUGGGCAAGUGCUAAUAUCUGAGAGUUCCAAGCAACAAGAUCUCUCUCAGGCAUGGAGCUGAAGAGUGUCGUUAUUUAAAACAAGUUGGUGGAUUUGGAUAGAAUUGUAGUCCAAGAAAUUAAGCUCCUUUCUGGCAUAAGCUCAAAGAGCUGCAUUGCUUUAUCCAAAUGCCCGUUUGUGGCAUAUGCUAAGAUCAUUGCAUUCCAUGCUACAAGGCCUCUCUCUCUCAUGGAAUGGAAAACUUCUUUUGCCUGUAGGAGUAAGCCAUGCCGAGAGAAGGCAGUGAUCAUGAUCGACCAUGAAGCAACAUCCCAUUCGGGCAUUCGAUCAAACAACUGCUUUGCUUGGUCAAGAUGGCUGUUUGAUGCGAAGGCAGAGAGCAUGGCAUUCCACGAGAAUCGAUUCCGUGAUGUAGAGCCGCGGAAGAUUUGCCAUGCUGCCUCUGGGCAUCCACACCUCCCAUACAUUUGCACCACCAUGCCGCGAGGAGGUGCUCAAUCUCAUUGUGGAGCUUAGAAGCUGUGGAUAGAUUGGUACACUUCUUUAUUGCAUCCAACAAAAGCUCUCAAGAAUCUAGUGCUAACAUGGUUCUCUGUAAGAAAAAACCAUAUAAUCAUGCACAAUCUUGGAUGGUUCCUUGGUUGUUGUAGAAACAAUCAUCAAUUCGGAGAUGAGUGUCAUGAUCCGCACCACUGUUGUCUUUGCACGUCGCAUAGUAGACCAACUUUGGGAUGGUUUCAU